This 565-nucleotide ribosomal RNA is filed under the name Salmonella enterica subsp. enterica serovar Berta str. ATCC 8392. RNAcentral's name for it is "bacterial LSU rRNA". It matches the Rfam family "Bacterial large subunit ribosomal RNA", at positions 1223 to 1782 of the family's 2925-position model. The record is from RNAcentral. Lineage: Bacteria; Pseudomonadati; Pseudomonadota; Gammaproteobacteria; Enterobacterales; Enterobacteriaceae.
GUUGGGUAGGGGAGCGUUCUGUAAGCCUGUGAAGGUGGCCUGUGAGGGUUGCUGGAGGUAUCAGAAGUGCGAAUGCUGACAUAAGUAACGAUAAAGCGGGUGAAAAGCCCGCUCGCCGGAAGACCAAGGGUUCCUGUCCAACGUUAAUCGGGGCAGGGUGAGUCGACCCCUAAGGCGAGGCCGAAAGGCGUAGUCGAUGGGAAACGGGUUAAUAUUCCCGUACUUGGUGUUACUGCGAAGGGGGGACGGAGAAGGCUAUGUUGGCCGGGCGACGGUUGUCCCGGUUUAAGCGUGUAGGCUGGUUUUCCAGGCAAAUCCGGAAAAUCAAGGCUGAGGCGUGACGACGAGGCACUACGGUGCUGAAGCAACAAAUGCCCUGCUUCCAGGAAAAGCCUCUAAGCAUCAGGUAACACGAAAUCGUACCCCAAACCGACACAGGUGGUCAGGUAGAGAAUACCAAGGCGCUUGAGAGAACUCGGGUGAAGGAACUAGGCAAAAUGGUGCCGUAACUUCGGGAGAAGGCACGCUGAUAUGUAGGUGAAGCGGUUUACCCGUGGAGCUGAAA